UACGUAGGUGGCGAGCGUUAUCCGGAAUUACUGGGCGUAAAGCGUGCGUAGGCGGCUUAGUGUGUGGGAAUUGAAAACCCGGGGCUCAACUCCGGAUCCGGUUCCCAAACUGCUAGACUCGAGCAUAUCAGAGGAGAGCGGAAUUCCCGGUGUAGCGGUAAUAUGCGUAGAUAUCGGGAGGAACACCAGUGGCGAAGGCGGCUCUUUGGGGUAUUGCUGACGCUGAGGCACGAAAGCCAGGGGAGCGAACGGG
RNAcentral lists this ribosomal RNA (253 nucleotides) under uncultured bacterium. Its description in RNAcentral is "partial 16S ribosomal RNA". It matches the Rfam family "Bacterial small subunit ribosomal RNA", at positions 524 to 776 of the family's 1533-position model. The record is from RNAcentral.